This is an RNA transcript of Diceros bicornis minor, 633 nucleotides long. It is a transcript of the gene named mucin-16-like, with no coding region annotated. NCBI's taxonomy places the organism in Eukaryota, Metazoa, Chordata, Mammalia, Perissodactyla, Rhinocerotidae. The transcript has 3 exons. The record is from RefSeq and is a predicted model, not a curated record.
UCCUCCUUCCUGUUCUGGCCCCCACCCCAGAGGUUUCAGGACCUCUCUCUAGAGUCCCCACAUCCCUCUCUCCCCAGGCCUGAAAAGGAUGGGGAAGCCAGCAGUGUGGACGCCGUCUGCACCUACCAUCCUGACCCCGUGGGCCUCCAUGCCUCUGUGCUGGGAGCGGAGAGUCUCCACCUGUCUGCUUUUCCUCUCGGUGGCUCCAGGCUCUGCAGCCCAGAGUUUAUCCAUCCAGAGAGAGCACCAGCUACAUUUCCACAUCAUCAGCUGGAACCUCAGCAACCCGGAGCCCACAUCCUCGGAGUACACCGCCCUGGUGAGGGACACCCAGGACCAGGUCGGUCCCCCAUGGUAACCACACUGCAGUGGACUCACUGUGUACCCAGCCGCCUUGGCACAGAGACUGGAUAGAGUUGCCAUCUAUGAGGAAUUCCUGCGGCUGACCUGAAGGGUACCCAGCUGCAGAACUUGACCCUGGACGGAAAGAAUGUCCUUGUGGAUGAAUAUUCUCCCAACAGAGAUGACACCUUGACUGAGAAGCAUGGUAAACCUGCAGGAAACCCCAGCCCACGGUAGGGGGCGAGUAUCUUGAUGCUGUGCCUCAUCGAAGAGAACUAUGCGCACAGGGUC